This 1565-nucleotide ribosomal RNA is filed under the name Escherichia coli. RNAcentral describes it as "partial 23S ribosomal RNA". It matches the Rfam family "Bacterial large subunit ribosomal RNA", at positions 139 to 1746 of the family's 2925-position model. The record is from RNAcentral. Lineage: Bacteria; Pseudomonadati; Pseudomonadota; Gammaproteobacteria; Enterobacterales; Enterobacteriaceae.
UUCGUCACACUAUCAUUAACUGAAUCCAUAGGUUAAUGAGGCGAACCGGGGGAACUGAAACAUCUAAGUACCCCGAGGAAAAGAAAUCAACCGAGAUUCCCCCAGUAGCGGCGAGCGAACGGGGAGCAGCCCAGAGCCUGAAUCAGUGUGUGUGUUAGUGGAAGCGUCUGGAAAGGCGUGCGAUACAGGGUGACAGCCCCGUACACAAAAAUGCACAUAUUGUGAGCUCGAUGAGUAGGGCGGGACACGUGGUAUCCUGUCUGAAUAUGGGGGGACCAUCCUCCAAGGCUAAAUACUCCUGACUGACCGAUAGUGAACCAGUACCGUGAGGGAAAGGCGAAAAGAACCCCGGCGAGGGGAGUGAAAAAGAACCUGAAACCGUGUACGUACAAGCAGUGGGAGCACGCUUAGGCGUGUGACUGCGUACCUUUUGUAUAAUGGGUCAGCGACUUAUAUUCUGUAGCAAGGUUAACCGAAUAGGGGAGCCGAAGGGAAACCGAGUCUUAACUGGGCGUUAAGUUGCAGGGUAUAGACCCGAAACCCGGUGAUCUAGCCAUGGGCAGGUUGAAGGUUGGGUAACACUAACUGGAGGACCGAACCGACUAAUGUUGAAAAAUUAGCGGAUGACUUGUGGCUGGGGGUGAAAGGCCAAUCAAACCGGGAGAUAGCUGGUUCUCCCCGAAAGCUAUUUAGGUAGCGCCUCGUGAAUUCAUCUCCGGGGGUAGAGCACUGUUUCGGCAAGGGGGUCAUCCCGACUUACCAACCCGAUGCAAACUGCGAAUACCGGAGAAUGUUAUCACGGGAGACACACGGCGGGUGCUAACGUCCGUCGUGAAGAGGGAAACAACCCAGACCGCCAGCUAAGGUCCCAAAGUCAUGGUUAAGUGGGAAACGAUGUGGGAAGGCCCAGACAGCCAGGAUGUUGGCUUAGAAGCAGCCAUCAUUUAAAGAAAGCGUAAUAGCUCACUGGUCGAGUCGGCCUGCGCGGAAGAUGUAACGGGGCUAAACCAUGCACCGAAGCUGCGGCAGCGACACUAUGUGUUGUUGGGUAGGGGAGCGUUCUGUAAGCCUGCGAAGGUGUGCUGUGAGGCAUGCUGGAGGUAUCAGAAGUGCGAAUGCUGACAUAAGUAACGAUAAAGCGGGUGAAAAGCCCGCUCGCCGGAAGACCAAGGGUUCCUGUCCAACGUUAAUCGGGGCAGGGUGAGUCGACCCCUAAGGCGAGGCCGAAAGGCGUAGUCGAUGGGAAACAGGUUAAUAUUCCUGUACUUGGUGUUACUGCGAAGGGGGGACGGAGAAGGCUAUGUUGGCCGGGCGACGGUUGUCCCGGUUUAAGCGUGUAGGCUGGUUUUCCAGGCAAAUCCGGAAAAUCAAGGCUGAGGCGUGAUGACGAGGCACUACGGUGCUGAAGCAACAAAUGCCCUGCUUCCAGGAAAAGCCUCUAAGCAUCAGGUAACAUCAAAUCGUACCCCAAACCGACACAGGUGGUCAGGUAGAGAAUACCAAGGCGCUUGAGAGAACUCGGGUGAAGGAACUAGGCAAAAUGGUGCCGUAACUUCGGGAGAAGG